UGGGGAAUAUUGCACAAUGGGGGAAACCCUGAUGCAGCGACGCCGCGUGAGUGAAGAAGUAUUUCGGUAUGUAAAGCUCUAUCAGCAGGGAAGAAAAUGACGGUACCUGAGUAAGAAGCCCCGGCUAACUACGUGCCAGCAGCCGCGGUAAUACGUAGGGGGCAAGCGUUAUCCGGAUUUACUGGGUGUAAAGGGAGCGCAGACGGCUCUGCAAGUCUGAAGUGAAAGCCCGCGGCUUAACCGCGGGACUGCUUUGGAAACUGCAGGGCUUGAGUAUCGGAGGGGCAGGCGGAAUUCCUAGUGUAGCGGUGAAAUGCGUAGAUAUUAGGAAGAACACCGGUGGCGAAGGCGGCCUGCUGGACGAAAACUGACGUUGAGGCUCGAAGGCGUGGGGAGCAAACAGGAUUAGAUACCCUGGUAGUCCACGCGGUAAACGAUGAAUACUAGGUGUUGGUGCCCGAAGGGCAUCGGUGCCGUCGCAAACGCAAUAAGUAUUCCACCUGGGGAGUACGUUCGCAAGAAUG
RNAcentral lists this ribosomal RNA (524 nucleotides) under uncultured bacterium. RNAcentral describes it as "bacterial SSU rRNA". It matches the Rfam family "Bacterial small subunit ribosomal RNA", at positions 355 to 896 of the family's 1533-position model. The record is from RNAcentral.